AUGACGGUCGGCGGGCUCGGUGUUCAUGGGGUGUAGAACCCCCGAACUCAAUCGGGAAUGGGGAAGGGUGGACCCAAUUGCGGCACCCGAAGCCCCAGCCGCCCCCGCGACUGUAUGCGGUAGCGUCCCUUCAUUCUGCCACUGGGCCAAAUUGCCCGGGAAGGCGAAGGGCCGUGUGACCCCGCGAGCCAGGAGACCGGCCGGACCAAAACGUAACAA
RNAcentral lists this non-coding RNA (219 nucleotides) under Rhodobacterales bacterium. The record is from RNAcentral. Lineage: Bacteria; Pseudomonadati; Pseudomonadota; Alphaproteobacteria; Rhodobacterales.